UGAGAUGCAGUUUUCAAUUUUUCAAAAGAAAAAUAAAAUUUCCCAGACCCCUAAAAAAAAAAAGGUUCCAUAGAUUCAGGUUAAGAACCCCUGAUCUAGAUGGACCCCACUUUCACCCACCUUCUCUUCUGCCUUCGGAGGGGGAAGUCAGUGGUGCCCCUGGUAUCUGGGAAAGCAAUGCUCAGGAGCCCCUCAGUGCUGAUGGUGCUGAGUCAGCUGGGAAGGAGUUUGGAGCUGAAGCUGGCCAGGCCCCUGCACCACAUGGUCACUAUGGCCAAGCAGGUACCGGCUCGCAGGCUGGAAGGCAUUGACCAGAACCCUUGGUUGGAGUUUUCGAAACUGGCCAACGAGAAUGAGGCUGUGAACUUGGGCCAGGGCUUCCCUGAUUUUGCACCUCCAAAAUUCGCCACAGAAGCAUUCAAACAAGCAGUCAGCGGAGACAUCAUGCUUAAUCAGUACACCGCCGCUUUUGGCCACCCUCCCUUGGUAAAGAUCCUGGCCAAGUUCUUUGGGAAAUUGCUGGAACAGGACUUGGAUCCCCAAAAGAAUGUGCUUGUGACAGUGGGUGCCUAUGGGGCCCUCUUUUAUGCCUUCCAGGCCCUGGUGGAUGAAGGAGAUGAGGUUAUUCUCAUUGAACCCUAUUUUGACUGCUAUGAGCCCAUGACAAAGAUGGCUGGUGGCUGUCCUGUGUUUGUGCCACUUCGACCGCCGUCAGCCUGUAAAGGGCAGUUGAUGUCCAGUGACGACUGGCAAUUAGAUCCAGCUGAGCUGGCCAGCAAGUUCACUCCCCGGACCAAGGUUAUUGUCAUCAAUUCACCCAACAACCCCUUGGGCAAGGUAUUCAGCAGGGCAGAACUGGAAAUUGUGGCAAAUCUGUGCAAAAAACACGAUGUCCUGUGUAUCAGUGAUGAGGUUUACCAGUGGCUGGUGUAUGACGGAAAGAAACAUAUCAGCAUAGCCACUCUUCCAGGAAUGUGGGAACGCACCUUGACUAUUGGCAGUGCAGGAAAAACCUUUAGUGUCACUGGUUGGAAGGUGGGCUGGGCCUUGGGACCAGAUCACCUUCUAAAACAUCUUCGGACUGUCCACCAGAACUCCUUAUAUCACUGUCCUACUCAGAGCCAGGAAGCUGUAUUUUCCAGUUUUGAGCAGGAACUAAAGGUCUUUGGUCAGCCCGAUAGCUACUUUGUCCAGCUGCCUGAGGCUACGCAGAAAAGUCGAGAUCACAUGAUUGAGAGCUUGCUGACUGUUGGAAUGAGGCCUGUUAUCCCCCAGGGCACCUACUUCCUCAUUGCAGACAUCUCUACCUUCAAGGAGAAGAUGCCCGACCUUCCUGGCUCCGAGGGGGAAGCCUACGACUCCCGCUUCAUCAAAUGGAUGAUUAAGAACAAGGGCUUGGUGGCGAUUCCAGUCUCAGCAUUCUACAGCUCUGAGCAGAAGCAGCAUUUUGACCACUACAUCAGAUUCUGCUAUGUGAAGAGUGACUCCACUAUCAAGGCCAUGGAUGAUAAGCUACAGCAGUGGAAGACAGAGCUCAAAGGCUGAUUUCUGCACCUAGGUCUCUCCCAUCCCCCUCCCCAUUCUACUUGAUUGGGCCCUUCCCCUUCUCUCCAUCCAUCCUUUGUGCUUCAGUGGGAUUUCCUUCCCCACUUGGAAAACCUGAAUCAGCCACCUCCUACUGAGGCAUGAAUGCCAACCAGGCCAGAAGUCACCUGCGGUUUAUAAGGACACCUGAUGGCUUAUUUUCAUGCCUCCUGGGUCACGUGUUGAUAUAACUGCUAGCUUCUUCCUUGGUUUUUCUUUUCCUCUUUUCACUUUUAAGGGCUGGCACAACAUUGUAAAGGGUCAACGGUCAAGUUGCCUUGCACAUCCAGCCAAUCACAGCCUUGAAAAGAUCCCUUUAGACUUGAAUCAAGAAUGUUUACUUCAAGCCAAGAGCCAUAUUUUUCUCUUAAUAAAGUUAUUGCACUCUA
RNA transcript from Gracilinanus agilis (Agile Gracile Mouse Opossum), 1973 nucleotides. It is a transcript of the gene named kynurenine aminotransferase 1, with no coding region annotated. Lineage: Eukaryota; Metazoa; Chordata; Mammalia; Didelphimorphia; Didelphidae. The record is from RefSeq and is a predicted model, not a curated record. The transcript is spliced from 14 exons.